RNAcentral lists this ribosomal RNA (253 nucleotides) under uncultured bacterium. RNAcentral's name for it is "partial 16S ribosomal RNA". It matches the Rfam family "Bacterial small subunit ribosomal RNA", at positions 524 to 776 of the family's 1533-position model. The record is from RNAcentral.
UACGAAGGGGGCUAGCGUUGCUCGGAAUCACUGGGCGUAAAGCGCACGUAGGCGGGUCUUUAAGUCAGGGGUGAAAUCCUGGAGCUCAACUCCAGAACUGCCUUUGAUACUGAGGAUCUCGAGUCCGGGAGAGGUGAGUGGAACUCCGAGUGUAGAGGUGAAAUUCGUAGAUAUUGGGAAGAACACCGGUGGCGAAGGCGGCGCUCUGGACCGAGACUGACGCUGAGGCGCGAAAGCGUGGGGAGCAAACAGG